UACGUAGGGGGCGAGCGUUGUCCGGAAUCAUUGGGCGUAAAGAGCGUGUAGGCGGCUUGGCAAGUCUGACGUGAAAGCCCGCGGCUCAACCGCGGAUUGUCGUUGGAAACUGCCUCGCUAGAGUCCGGAAGAGGAGAGCGGAAUUCCUGGUGUAGCGGUGGAAUGCGCAGAUAUCAGGAAGAACACCCGUGGCGAAGGCGGCUCUCUGGGACGGUACUGACGCUGAGACGCGAAAGCGUGGGGAGGUGAACAGG
Molecule: ribosomal RNA, 254 nt
Filed under: uncultured bacterium
Lineage: Bacteria
Description: partial 16S ribosomal RNA
Rfam family: Bacterial small subunit ribosomal RNA
Source: RNAcentral